This 344-nucleotide unclassified non-coding RNA is filed under the name soil metagenome. RNAcentral's name for it is "partial contains 5.8S ribosomal RNA, internal transcribed spacer 2, and large subunit ribosomal RNA". The stretch from base 1 to 120 matches the Rfam family "5.8S ribosomal RNA", at positions 35 to 154 of the family's 154-position model. The record is from RNAcentral.
GAUGAAGAACGCAGCGAAAUGCGAUAAGUAAUGUGAAUUGCAGAAUUCAGUGAAUCAUCGAAUCUUUGAACGCACAUUGCGCCCGCCAGUAUUCUGGCGGGCAUGCCUGUUCGAGCGUCAUUUCCACUAUCAGGCCCCCGGGCCUGUGUUGGGGACCUGCGGCUGCCCGCAGGCCCCGAAAUUCAGUGGCGGUCGCGCCGUAGCAACCGAGCGUAGUAACUAAAACGUCUCGCUCUGGCUCGCUGGGCGCGCUCCGGCCGUAAAACACCCCCCCUUUUCGCAAAGGUUGACCUCGGAUCAGGUAGGAAUACCCGCUGAACUUAAGCAUAUCAAUAAGCGGAGGA